UAUCAUUGUGUACAAUCAGAUGUUACAAAUACACAAUAUGUUUCACUGUGCUUUUGCCUGCCGAAGUGUUAAAAAAGAUCAAAUCAUUGUGCCAGUUAACCUUCGCAUUACGUUAAGGAUGCGCAGUUUAUUUAUGCAGUACAACAAGAACCUGCACGCGGAUGACAUCAAAGUACUGCGAGAGGGACUCGAAUGAUCAUGGGCAAGAUUCUGAUUUCAAAUCGCUCUCGCGGUAUUUUAACGUCAUCCGUUUGUCAGUUCCUCCAACGCAGCAUUACGUCGAACACCUUGUCAAAAAUGAUUGAGAUAGCCAAUCAAAUCAAAAAAGGCGAGUGCCACUGGCCAAUCACAUAACAGAAGAUGAGCUUUCCUGUUAACGCAAGCCGAGCGGCGGCCAAUCAAAUUAACCAAUAGGCGGGGUUAACCCCAGGAGCAGCAGUUACACCGCGUCAAUCAAUCAUAACGGACAGACACAGAUUACAAAGGCAGCAGGAUGAGAGUUAACUAAGCACAAGCAGGUUUCAUUAAAGGCCGGAACAGAGCAGACAGAAAAGGUCUCCCGCUGCCCUGCCGCCUCUGAGUACUUGUCAUCUCUCUCACUGCCGCAGCUCCGGCUGCCUCGCUGCCAGAAGCGCUGUCCAGCGUACCCACACGGGGCUGUUUCUCAAUUCCAAGAACGCAAAGAACGGACUUGUGUUCUCGUGGAGACUGGUCUUGCCAGGCGACCUUGGAAGAACGAACUCAGAAGGUUGCGAGAACACAGAACGCACCUGUGAGAAUUGAGAUGUGUGCGACCUUCCUGCUGGUCACGUGACCUCCCCAGAUUUCAGCACGCAAGUCUGCACCCGAUGCAUCCUCGAUAUUAAGAACUCAUCCGGGUAUUUUCAUGCGUCCUCUGUACUUGUGUUCUUGAGAAUUGGAAUUGAACUUCGACUGUUAAUGAUGACGUAGAGCGAGGACACAAGGUCGCAAGAUCGCUGAAGAACGCAUAUUGAGAAACAGCCGGGGUCUUCAGCCGCGGUCCAGCUCGACUGGUUAAAUUCUAUGCGGCAUUUCAGUUAUUUCUCCCUGUCAUCGCGCAGUGGAUACUCCACCCUGUAACCAUACCGUGGAUUUGUCCCCCUGUCUCCAAGCAGCGGAUUUCUCUCUGACAUUUUCCUUAUUAUUCACCCAAGCUCUGCCUUGUGGAUGACUGUCAUCUUUAUAAAUUGUUUUUCUGCAAGUGGAUCCUGUUUCUGUCUCCUUCUCUGCCCUGACAGGAAAACACAGAAUUUUAGAAAAAAUUUAAUUUGGGGAAAAAACUAUAGGGCCAUAGGUGUGCUAAAACCUGACUCCAAUUGGCUUUUUUGAGGUCUUUAAGGCCUAGUCCACACGAACACGGGUAUUUUUAUAACCGUGAGUUUUUUCACGCGGUUUGGCCGUUCGUCGAACAUGAAACCGCAGUAUCAGGGCACUGAAACCGAGCAUAUUUGAAAACCCCGGCCAGGGUGAGCUUUUUAAGAAACCCCGGUUACAGUGGUGUCGUGUAGAGAGUAAAACCGGGGGUUUUGCCUUGCGACGUCAGAGUGUGCGCCGUUAUCCACUGUGUUUGACGUCAAGAUUGUGCGCCG
Paramisgurnus dabryanus is the source of this 1610-nucleotide long non-coding RNA. RefSeq lists it as uncharacterized. The record is from RefSeq and is a predicted model, not a curated record. NCBI's taxonomy places the organism in Eukaryota, Metazoa, Chordata, Actinopteri, Cypriniformes, Cobitidae.